GAAGGUGACUGGCAGGAAAAGGCUUACGAAAAGAUCAAGUCUAUGAAGGAAAUGCAUUACUCAAAGCUCUAUUCUCUAUAUCAGGAAAUUGCUGAUGCACUGGAAGAGAAAUCUCAGCAUCUUACAAAUGAGCAAAUUGAAAAGCUGAAGAUGUUCAAGAUAACGUUGGACCGCAUUAUGCUUUUCUUGCAGCUUAACAAGGAUUAUGUCACACUUGCUCACAAGGAGAAACUGCUUUC
This 239-nucleotide unclassified non-coding RNA is filed under the name Hevea brasiliensis (rubber tree). Lineage: Eukaryota; Viridiplantae; Streptophyta; Magnoliopsida; Malpighiales; Euphorbiaceae. The record is from RNAcentral.